GAUGAACGCUGGCGGCGUGCCUAAUACAUGCAAGUCGAGCGAACAGACGAGGAGCUUGCUCCUCUGACGUUAGCGGCGGACGGGUGAGUAACACGUGGAUAACCUACCUAUAAGACUGGGAUAACUUCGGGAAACCGGAGCUAAUACCGGAUAAUAUAUUGAACCGCAUGGUUCAAUAGUUAAAGACGGUUUUGCUUUCACUUAUAGAUGGAUCCGCGCCGCAUUAGCUAGUUGGUAAGGUAACGGCUUACCAAGGCAACGAUGCGUAGCCGACCUGAGAGGGUGAUCGGCCACACUGGAACUGAGACACGGUCCAGACUCCUAAGGGAGGCAGCAGUAGGGAAUCUUCCGCAAUGGGCGAAAGCCUGAAGGAGCAACGCCGCGUGAGUGAUGAAGGUCUUCGGAUCGUAAAACUCUGUUAUUAGGGAAGAACAAAUGUGUAAGUAACUAUGCACGUCUUGACGGUACCUAAUCAGAAAGCCACGGCUAACUACGU
This 496-nucleotide ribosomal RNA is filed under the name uncultured bacterium. RNAcentral describes it as "partial 16S ribosomal RNA". It matches the Rfam family "Bacterial small subunit ribosomal RNA", at positions 28 to 506 of the family's 1533-position model. The record is from RNAcentral.